This 253-nucleotide ribosomal RNA is filed under the name uncultured bacterium. Its description in RNAcentral is "partial 16S ribosomal RNA". It matches the Rfam family "Bacterial small subunit ribosomal RNA", at positions 524 to 776 of the family's 1533-position model. The record is from RNAcentral.
UACGUAGGUGGCAAGCGUUGUCCGGAUUUACUGGGCGUAAAGAGCGCGCAGGCGGUCGUUCAAGUCGCGUGUGAAAGCCCCCGGCUCAACUGGGGAGGGUCACGCGAUACUGCUCGACUUGAAGGCAGGAGAGGGAAGUGGAAUUCCCGGUGUAGUGGUGAAAUGCGUAGAUAUCGGGAGGAACACCAGUGGCGAAGGCGACUUCCUGGCCUGUUCUUGACGCUGAGGCGCGAAAGCCAGGGGAGCAAACGGG